ACGCUCGACACCUACGAGAGGCAGCAGUAGGGAAUCUUCCACAAUGGGCGCAAGCCUGAUGGAGCAACACCGCGUGAGUGAAGAAGGGUUUCGGCUCGUAAAGCUCUGUUGUUGGAGAAGAACGUGCGUGAGAGUAACUGUUCACGCAGUGACGGUAUCCAACCAGAAAGUCACGGCUAACUACGUGCCAGUAGCCGCGGUAAUCUGAGCGGGCUGGCAAGGC
RNAcentral lists this ribosomal RNA (223 nucleotides) under uncultured bacterium. RNAcentral describes it as "partial 16S ribosomal RNA". It matches the Rfam family "Bacterial small subunit ribosomal RNA", at positions 328 to 539 of the family's 1533-position model. The record is from RNAcentral.